RNAcentral lists this long non-coding RNA (1444 nucleotides) under Cercocebus atys (sooty mangabey). Its description in RNAcentral is "lncRNA (ENSCATG00000045571.1)". The record is from RNAcentral. Lineage: Eukaryota; Metazoa; Chordata; Mammalia; Primates; Cercopithecidae.
AUGACAGGCAUUUCAAGAGAUAAGAGGCAGGCUGCUGCCCACUCAAAAGCAUCAUUCCACCCAUCAGGCAGAGCGCCCAAAUUAAGGAUCGUAGCAAUUACACACAAGCAACAGCAUGGAAAAGAAGCCAGUGCUGCAGAGGUGAUCUGGAUCCAGGAAGAAAGGGAAGAUACCUUCAAUCAAAAAGAGACCACGUCUGCAGAAAACUUUUGGAUGCAACACAGCUGGUUCGCUUCAGGGGACACAUUCUCAGAAAUGGCCGGAUGAUUUCUGUGUGGGCUGGUUCCAGGAGAGCCCCAGUGAGGUGCUCCCUAGAUCAUCAACAUUAACAAGCUCCCUUUGCAGGUCAGUCCCCCAGCAUGCAGUGAUGUUUUAUGAUGUUUAGGAAGGUCAGAGGACUGCCAAAAAUCAUUAAAUGCUUACUGAUCUCUACUUUCUGGUUCCUUAGUCAUUUCCUCAGACAUCUGUGGUCUGCUUACUUCCUUUACCACCUUUUUUGAGUGUAAGUAUCAUGUGGAUGCUUUUUGACUUUUUAUCAUACAUGAUGAGUCAAAACUGCUCACCAUAACACAAAAUAAACAGUAGCAAGAACAGCCACAGCCAAAUGAACAAAUGUGUUUUAGAACUCACGCAACUCAGGAAAAUGAGGUAGAGUUUUUUUUUGGCAGAAUCCCUUUGCAAUAUGAUGCACUAAUACUCUUAGCUGGGAAUAAAUGUAAGGUAGAGUGUGUGGAAGAUACCACCUAAAGUAUGGUGUGGAGCGUGGGGGAGCCAUAUAUAUAUGUAUAUGUAUAAUGUAAUAUAUGUAACUGUAUAUAUAUAUACAUGUAUGUGUAGCCAUAUAUAUGUAUGUGUAUGCAUAUAAUAUAAUGUAUAUGUAUUGUGUAUGGGUGCUUUAUAUAGAUAAGCAAACAUACAUAUAUAUACACACAUAUACGUUAGUUUAUAAAGAAAAAUAUUUCAGAGACUUACAGACAUUUGAGUUAGCACUGUGUGCAGCGUUAUCAAAUAGGGUCUGUAUGUAUUCCCUUAGAUAUGGGUCUCCAGAAAAAGCUUAAGUGAAUGCCCCCAGCAGAUUAUCAUUACGUUUAGACACUACACUUAGAGUUUCAUUUCAUUCUGUAAUAAGGUGAGUUGAUGAUGGUGUUAUUUCAAUUUACAACUGAGAAAACCAAAAUCUGCAUGCAUUGUCAAAGGAAUUGCACUAGCAUCUGCUGCCUCUCAGUAUUCAGAGAAUGCUCAGGUAUUGCGAUGGUGAAACAAUUGUUUACAAUCUUAAAUUACUUUGCCAUGUCGUUAGUCACAAAUCAUCCAUAGGCUGCCUUCUUUAUGUCAUGCGCUUACUUUUAAUUAAGGAAGCAGAACCAGCAAAGGCUAUUGCUGUUCUUAUUCAUGGUGCAUUGGUGGCUAAGUCUUCCAUAACAACUGCGUAACACAAUAUCAC